UUCCGGCUUCUCUCCUACAAAACAUACAGAGACCAAUCUCUUGUUUAUUUCUGUAUCAGAAGAGCUUGUUUAGUUGAGCAGAUUGAGCAGCCAUGUUGACUGCUAAUGCCGAUAUUGCUGAAGCUUACGUAUUGAGGAAACUCCAUAAAGAAAAGAUGAAGAAACCCGAAAAGAAGACACGUCGAGAAAACGCGUUAAAAGAAGAUGAUCAUGGUGCUGGAUCUGGUUGCUUCUCCAUUUUGUUCAAGAAAGUCCAUCCAUCUUCUAUGCCAGAAUCAGAUUCCUAACUUGACCGAGCUUCAUCUCUCUCAUAUUAUAUAUAUAUAUAUAUAUAUAUAUAUAUAU
This 345-nucleotide long non-coding RNA is filed under the name Olea europaea (common olive). Its description in RNAcentral is "long non-coding RNA (OEUR_LNC001635)". The record is from RNAcentral. Lineage: Eukaryota; Viridiplantae; Streptophyta; Magnoliopsida; Lamiales; Oleaceae.